This 1395-nucleotide long non-coding RNA is filed under the name Numida meleagris (helmeted guineafowl). Its description in RNAcentral is "lncRNA (ENSNMEG00000019761.1)". Lineage: Eukaryota; Metazoa; Chordata; Aves; Galliformes; Numididae. The record is from RNAcentral.
GCCGGGCUCUGCCGGCACCUCCGCGUGUCUGUGCGCGGUCACUACCGCGCCUCGGCUCCUCGCACCGCACCGGCUCGCACCGCCGCGGCAAUCGGCCGAGGCCGCCACCCGGCUCCCGGCGUUCGAGGCUUCUGUCACCUGACGGCGACAGCUUCCCCUCCUCCGCGUCUCCCCCGGCACCACCCCAGCACCGCUGUUACUUUCUCCUUCUUUCCUCCGCGCCGCGACGCGAGGCCGCAGCGGGGCGAGCAGCCCUCCGGUACUUGCGGCAGGAACCCGACCCUACGUUUUGAAGGAGGCGGCCGCUCGCCGAGCGCAGAUGGAGCAGAACUCCACCGACACCUGAUCCCGCUCCACGUGCAGGCAGAUCCCGCCGGGGGCCGCCCACUCCUCCUCGGGCUCCGCGGCCGGCGCCCGCUCCGGGCCGGGCGGCCGAGCGCUGGGCAGCGCGUAGUCGUGGUCGCCGCUGUCGCCGCCGGCCCGGAGGGGCUGCUCCUGCUGCUGCUGCUGCUCCUGCUGCUGGCGGCGGGCGUCCCUGAAGAGGCUGGUGCCGAGGCGCAGCCCGCCGGCCCGCGUCCCGGCCAAGCGGCUCAGGAGCUGCCCCAGCGCGCUCUGGUUGGCCAGCACGGCCCGCAGGUAGCCGCUCUCCCGCUCCAGCUCCCGCAGGCGGCGGCUGAGGCCGCGGUUGCGGUCCCGCAGCUGCCGGUUCUCGGCAGCCAGGCCCUGCAGGCGGCUCUCCAGCCCCAGCACGUACUGCUUCUUCUUCAGCCGGUUCAGCCGCGCCGCCGCCGCCGCCUUCAGCCUGCUGCCGGCCCCGCCGCUCCGCCUGCGGCCCUGCCCCGAGCCGGGCAGCGCGCCCGCUUCUCCGCAGAAACAGCCGCUCAGCUCCGCGCCCGCGUCCCACUCCGGCCGGGCCGCCUCCAGCAGGUCUCCCAGCUCCAGCCCGGGGAACCAGUCCUCUUGCUCCCACACUUCCAGCGGGCCUUCGGCCGCCUCCGCCUCCUUCUCCGGCUGCUGUUGUUUGGGCCGCGCCGCGCCCGGAUCCCCUUCCCCGCCGCCAUCCCGCCCUCUCGGGGCCUGCCCCGCGCCGGCGAGAGGCCGCACGGCGCCCGAGGGGCUCGCUCCGCCCGAGGAGGCCGCCAGCAGCUGGGUGAGGCUGUGCCGCAUGGCGGCCGACGGACGGAGGAGGGGGCGGCGGCGGCGGCGGCCGCGGGGCCCCAGGAGAGCGGCGCGGAGCGGCGGUGCCGCGGUGCGUGUCGGGAAGCGGCGGACGUGAGGGGAUCCGGGGGCGGGGGGGCGAGGAGGGGGCGGCGGGGGAUGGCUGCUGCUGCGGCUGCGCCCGCGCGCGGGAAAAGCGCGUCUGUGGGGGAGAGGGGUCGGUGUGUGGGGACCUGA